RNAcentral lists this ribosomal RNA (432 nucleotides) under uncultured bacterium. RNAcentral's name for it is "partial 16S ribosomal RNA". It matches the Rfam family "Bacterial small subunit ribosomal RNA", at positions 29 to 506 of the family's 1533-position model. The record is from RNAcentral.
AACGAACGCUGGCGGCAUGCCUAACACAUGCAAGUCGAACGAGACCUUCGGGUCUAGUGGCGCACGGGUGCGUAACGCGUGGGAACCUGCCCUUAGGUUCGGAAUAACUCCCCGAAAGGGGUGCUAAUACCGGAUAAUGUCUUCGGACCAAAGAUUUAUCGCCUUUGGAUGGGCCCGCGUUGGAUUAGCUAGUUGGUAGGGUAAAAGCCUACCAAGGCGACGAUCCAUAGCUGGUCUGAGAGGAUGAUCAGCCACACUGGGACUGAGACACGGCCCAGACUCGUACGGGAGGCAGCAGUGGGGAAUAUUGGACAAUGGGCGAAAGCCUGAUCCAGCAAUGCCGCGUGAGUGAUGAAGGCCUUAGGGUUGUAAAGCUCUUUUACCCGGGAUGAUAAUGACAGUACCGGGAGAAUAAGCUCCGGCUAACUCCGU